Unclassified non-coding RNA from Erinaceus europaeus (western European hedgehog), 313 nucleotides. Its record names the gene 7SK. It matches the Rfam family "7SK RNA". From Rfam's summary of the family: 7SK was discovered as an abundant small nuclear RNA in the mid-70s but a possible function has only recently been suggested. The record is from Ensembl. NCBI's taxonomy places the organism in Eukaryota, Metazoa, Chordata, Mammalia, Eulipotyphla, Erinaceidae.
GCAUGUGAGGGCGAUCUGGCUGCGACAUCUGUCACCCUAUUGAUCGCCAGGGUUGAUUCAGCUGAUCUGGCUGGCUAGGCGGGUGUCCCCUUCCUCCCUCACUGCUCCAUGUGCGUCCCUCCCGAAGCUGUGUGUUCAGUCGAAGAGGACGGCCUUCCCCAAAUAGACGGACCGGUCUUCGGUUGAGGGUAUACGAGUAGCUGCGCUCCCCUGCUAGAAGCUCCAAACAAGCUCUCAAGAACACAGCUUGCACAGUUGGGUUGAAGACAAUCCCUAUCUUCCAUCUUUACCUACCUUUAGAAGCAGAACAGGU